RNAcentral lists this ribosomal RNA (433 nucleotides) under uncultured bacterium. Its description in RNAcentral is "bacterial SSU rRNA". It matches the Rfam family "Bacterial small subunit ribosomal RNA", at positions 29 to 507 of the family's 1533-position model. The record is from RNAcentral.
AACGAACGCUGGCGGCAUGCCUAACACAUGCAAGUCGAACGAACCCUUCGGGGUUAGUGGCGCACGGGUGCGUAACGCGUGGGAAUCUGCCCAAAGGUUCGGAAUAACACAGAGAAAUUUGUGCUAAUACCGGAUAAUGUCUUCGGACCAAAGAUUUAUUGCCUUUGGAUGAGCCCGCGUUGGAUUAGCUUGUUGGUGAGGUAACGGCUCACCAAGGCGACGAUCUAUAGCUGGUCUGAGAGGAUGAUCAGCCACACUGGGACUGAGACACGGCCCAGACUCCUACGGGAGGCAGCAGUGGGGAAUAUUGGACAAUGGGCGAAAGCCUGAUCCAGCAAUGCCGCGUGAGUGAUGAAGGCCAUAGGGUUGUAAAGCGCUUUCACCUGUGAUGAUGAUGACAGUAGCAGGAGAAGAAGCCCCGGCUAACUCCGUG